GCUCAGAUAUGACGAUGGACAUUGCAAAGAGUGGCGAACGGGUGAGUAACACGUGGGAAACCUACCUCUUAGCAGGGGAUAACAUUUGGAAACAGAUGCUAAUACCGUAUAACAAUAGCAACCGCAUGGUUGCUACUUAAAAGAUGGUUCUGCUAUCACUAAGAGAUGGUCCCGCGGUGCAUUAGUUAGUUGGUGAGGUAAUGGCUCACCAAGACGAUGAUGCAUAGCCGAGUUGAGAGACUGAUCGGCCACAAUGGGACUGAGACACGGCCCAUACUCCUACGGGAGGCAGCAGUAGGGAAUCUUCCACAAUGGGCGAAAGCCUGAUGGAGCAACGCCGCGUGUGUGAUGAAGGGUUUCGGCUCGUAAAACACUGUUGUAAGAGAAGAAUGACAUUGAGAGUAACUGUUCAAUGUGUG
RNAcentral lists this ribosomal RNA (419 nucleotides) under Weissella cibaria. RNAcentral describes it as "bacterial SSU rRNA". It matches the Rfam family "Bacterial small subunit ribosomal RNA", at positions 66 to 471 of the family's 1533-position model. Lineage: Bacteria; Bacillati; Bacillota; Bacilli; Lactobacillales; Lactobacillaceae. The record is from RNAcentral.